UGGGUGGGCAAGAGAGGUCUCGGGUUUGAGAAGAAGGAAAAGAAUUGUGGGGUCUGGAGAUUGGAAGAGGAAGAAGAGGUGGCUGUGAUUGUUUUUGAAUCUGUUGAUGUGGAUGCGGUACUGAGAAUGAAAAAGAAGAAGGAGGGUAGGAGAAGGAGAGAGAAUGAGGAGGAGCAAACAAGAUACCACCACCUCCACGGAUGUUGUUGUUUGUGGGAACCAAGUUUUCAGUGGAUCUUGAAACGUG
This 247-nucleotide unclassified non-coding RNA is filed under the name Hevea brasiliensis (rubber tree). Lineage: Eukaryota; Viridiplantae; Streptophyta; Magnoliopsida; Malpighiales; Euphorbiaceae. The record is from RNAcentral.